Delphinapterus leucas (beluga whale) is the source of this 862-nucleotide non-coding RNA. The record is from RefSeq and is a predicted model, not a curated record. Lineage: Eukaryota; Metazoa; Chordata; Mammalia; Artiodactyla; Monodontidae.
ACUUGAAAAACGAUGCACAGGAAGAUCUAAAAUACAAUGGGGAGAGGACCAUGUCGAGCUGUCAUCGCCUCUGGAGGCAGCAUUUGUAGCAUCUGGCCAGAUGUGGAAUCCAAAAAUAAAUGAGCCGUUGAUCAUGGGUUUGGUGCUGGCAAAACUGUUCUACCUACUUGAAUUCAGUCGACAUUUCCUAAGUGAGCACCAUGUUUUGGAUGCAAGUCCAAUACAACAAAAAUGAAGUUCUCUUGUCUUUGAGGAGCUUCUAGCCUACCAAAGGCAGCGUUCAACACCUGGGUGUGGAGUGGAGCACUGCUGGAAUGAGGGAGGUCCACAAAGUGACGCCAACUGGUUACUACUGGGGAGAGAUCAAGAAUGAGAGAAGGCAUUCUGGAAGAAAUUCAACUGGUAUAAAAUUUGAUAAAGUUACUUUCCUAGGAAUUGAAAAGAGAUUGAGGGGUGGGUACACGAUUUUCCUCACCAUUCAUUCCGUAGAGAAAAGGGGACCUACCUAAAUCUUCAUCUUUAAAAUAGCUUCAAUAAUUUUUUUUUUUUUCAUUUAACCGUCUCCUGUUCUGGUUAAUUUCUUUCGGUGUAAACACUUCAAUUUGGAAAAAAAAAAAAAAAAAAGUAGAAAUGUGGGACCCUGGCACUGGGUCCCAGAAAUAACGUCCUGAGAAGGUUUGCGGUCCCUGGCGGUAGGAUUAAUUAUCUACAAACCAGGCCUGGUGGGGUCUUCCUCCAAGGGCUCCCCGCAGAGAAUUAAAGAAGGGUGAAUUCAUUCCCAGCCCCCGCUCUGGUUUGUUCUGCUGUCUGAGGGAGAUUUCCCUUUGCUCUGCAGCGCCCCCAUGGGGCUAAGAUUGGAGUG